Molecule: ribosomal RNA, 660 nt
Filed under: Membracis mexicana
Lineage: Eukaryota; Metazoa; Arthropoda; Insecta; Hemiptera; Membracidae
Description: partial large subunit ribosomal RNA
Rfam family: Eukaryotic large subunit ribosomal RNA
Source: RNAcentral
CUGUAGCGUCGUGCCUAUACUCGGCCGUCAACGGCAAAGUGGGCGACCCCCUCGCGGGGGUCGGGCCGUUAAGCCUUGACGAGUAGGAGGGUCGCGGCGGUGUGCACUGAAGGGUCACGGCGUGAGCCGGCCUGGAGCCGCCGUCGGCGCAGAUCUUGGUGGUAGUAGCAAAUACUCCAGCGAGGACCUGGAGGACUGACGUGGAGAAGGGUUUCUUGUGAACAGCUGUUGCACAAGAGUCAGUCGACCCUAAGCCCUAGGAGAAAUCCCACGUUGAUGGGUCGCCGGACAAACUCAAAAAACCAAUGAAUUUGACGGCACCCUCAGGGCGAAAGGGAAUCCGGUUCCUAUUCCGGAACCCGGUAGCGGAACCGUUCCAAAACGGGCCCUCGCAAGAGUGCUCGUCGGGGCAACCCAAAGAGACCCGGAGACGCCGUCGGGAGAUCCGGAGAGAGUUUUCUUUUCUCUAUAAGCGUUCGAGUUCGCUGGAAUCCUCUAGCAGGGAGAUAGGGUUUGGAACGCGAAGAGCACCGCAGUUGCAGCGGUGUCCGGAUCUUCCCCUCGGACCUUGAAAAUCCGGGAGAGGGCUACGUGGAAAGUUCGCACCGGAUCGUACCCAUAUCCGCAGCAGGUCUCCAAGGUUAAGAGCCUCUAGUCGAU